This 569-nucleotide ribosomal RNA is filed under the name uncultured Pezizomycotina. RNAcentral describes it as "SSU rRNA". It matches the Rfam family "Eukaryotic small subunit ribosomal RNA", at positions 185 to 761 of the family's 1831-position model. The record is from RNAcentral. Lineage: Eukaryota; Fungi; Ascomycota.
GCCCUUGGAAGGGAUGUAUUUAUUAGAUUAAAAACCAAUGCCCUUCGGGGCGCACUGGUGAUUCAUGAUAACUCCUCGAAUCGCAUGGCCUUGUGCCGGCGAUGGUUCAUUCAAAUUUCUUCCCUAUCAACUUUCGAUGUUUGGGUAUUGGCCAAACAUGGUUGCAACGGGUAACGGAGGGUUAGGGCUCGACCCCGGAGAAGGAGCCUGAGAAACGGCUACUACAUCCAAGGAAGGCAGCAGGCGCGCAAAUUACCCAAUCCCGACACGGGGAGGUAGUGACAAUAAAUACUGAUACAGGGCUCUUUUGGGUCUUGUAAUUGGAAUGAGUACAAUUUAAAUCCCUUAACGAGGAACAAUUGGAGGGCAAGUCUGGUGCCAGCAGCCGCGGUAAUUCCAGCUCCAAUAGCGUAUAUUAAAGUUGUUGUGGUUAAAAAGCUCGUAGUUGAACCUUGGGCCUGGCUGGCCGGUCCGCCUCACCGCGUGUACUGGUCCGGCCGGGCCUUUCCCUCUGUGGAACCCCAUGCCCUUCACUGGGUGUGGCGGGGAACCAGGACUUUUACAAGGGC